CCUACGGGACGCACCAGUGGGGAAUAUUGCACAAUGGGCGCAAGCCUGAUGCAGCCAUGCCGCGUGUAUGAAGAAGGCCUUCGGGUUGUAAAGUACUUUCAGCGGGGAGGAAGGUGUUGUGGUUAAUAACCACAGCAAUUGACGUUACCCGCAGAAGAAGCACCGGCUAACUCCGUGCCAGCAGCCGCGGUAAUACGGAGGGUGCAAGCGUUAAUCGGAAUUACUGGGCGUAAAGCGCACGCAGGCGGUCUGUCAAGUCGGAUGUGAAAUCCCCGGGCUCAACCUGGGAACUGCAUUCGAAACUGGCAGGCUAGAGUCUUGUAGAGGGGGGUAGAAUUCCAGGUGUAGCGGUGAGAUGCGUAGAGAUCUGGAGGAAUACCGGUGGCGAAGGCGGCCCCCUGGACAAAGACUGACGCUCAGGUGCGAAAGCGUGGGGAGCAAACAGGAUUAGAUACCCCUGUAGUC
This 465-nucleotide ribosomal RNA is filed under the name uncultured bacterium. RNAcentral describes it as "bacterial SSU rRNA". It matches the Rfam family "Bacterial small subunit ribosomal RNA", at positions 338 to 795 of the family's 1533-position model. The record is from RNAcentral.